Molecule: ribosomal RNA, 442 nt
Filed under: uncultured eukaryote
Lineage: Eukaryota
Description: bacterial SSU rRNA
Rfam family: Eukaryotic small subunit ribosomal RNA
Source: RNAcentral
CUCACCAGGUCAGGACACGGUAAGGAUUGACGGACUGAAGGCUCUUUCUCGAUUCCGUGGAAAGUGGUGCAUGGCCGUUUUUGGUUGGUGGAUCGAUCCGUCUGGUUAAUUCCGUUAACGAACGAGACCUCGGCACUCCGAAUAGCGCGGCGGACGUCGCGGCCUCCGGGCCGUCUUCCGCGCGAGCUUCUUAGAGGGACCGUCCCCCGCCGGGGAAGGAGGUGCGAGGCAACGACAGGUCUGUGAUGCCCUUAGAUGUUCUGGGCCGCACGCGCAUUACACUGACGCGUCCAACGGGUGACUCCCGACCCGAAGGGGCCGGGGAAUCCGCAAGGCGCGUCGUGAUGGGGAUUGAACGUUGCAAUUGUUGUUCACGAACGAGGAAUUCCUAGUAGGCGCGGGUCAUCAACCCGCGCCGAUUACGUCCCUGCCCUUUGUACAC